Oryza sativa Japonica Group (Japanese rice) is the source of this 513-nucleotide long non-coding RNA. RefSeq lists it as uncharacterized. NCBI's taxonomy places the organism in Eukaryota, Viridiplantae, Streptophyta, Magnoliopsida, Poales, Poaceae. The record is from RefSeq and is a predicted model, not a curated record.
GUUGGGGGUAGAGAGGAAUCCAGAAGAAGGGUCCUCCAUGGAAGAUGCUGUGCUUGGUUUCAUUUAUAGAGAGUACACGAGGUUUCUUUCACAAAGUGGAAGCUUAGGUGGUGGAGUGCCUUUUCGCAGACCGAAAUGAGGUUUAUGAACAAUAAUUUAGAUGAUGAAUACACUCUAGAUGUAUUGGAGUACCUUGACGAAGCAUGGGCUGGAAAGUUGGUUUUGGUGGUGAUCACCCGGAGCAGAUCUUGCGUCAUGGACCUACUUAGCAGGUGCAGUUUGGCUGGUCUUGCAUUGUGCCUGUCAGAUUAGUGCUGUACUUGAUGCAUUGUUGUCGUUUAUACAUGAAACCAAAUGAAAUACAAGAACCAUAUGUAGAUUGCAGAACAAAUUAUUUUCCUUCUAAAGAGGGUGAGAUCUUAGUAGAACUUUAUUGCUUGUGGUGCCCUGCUGUUUGACAAUGUAAUUGGUGCGAGACACUGGCAUAUGAUCUGGCCUGAGCCUUGUGUAUGA